CGGCGGACGGGUGAGUAACGCGUGGGUAACCUGCCUCAUACAGGGGGAUAACAGUUGGAAACGGCUGCUAAUACCGCAUAAGCGCACAGUACCGCCUGGUACGGUGUGAAAAACUCCGGUGGUAUGAGAUGGACCCGCGUCUGAUUAGGUAGUUGGUGGGGUAACGGCCUACCAAGCCGACGAUCAGUAGCCGACCUGAGAGGGUGACCGGCCACAUUGGGACUGAGACACGGCCCAA
RNAcentral lists this ribosomal RNA (238 nucleotides) under uncultured bacterium. RNAcentral describes it as "partial 16S ribosomal RNA". It matches the Rfam family "Bacterial small subunit ribosomal RNA", at positions 96 to 334 of the family's 1533-position model. The record is from RNAcentral.